UUUCUUUCUCUUCACUUUUGAGACUAGUGUACAUAUUUGUAUAUAUAUAUAUAUAUAUACAUAUAUAUAUAUAUAUGUUUCAUUCUUGGGAGUCUGUACCAGCAACAGCUUCCCAUAUGUUAGACGCAUCUCAGGAUUUAUUAGUCAGCCGAGGUCAAUUGAGAUUUGCUGUAUUUGCUUUCACAAAAGCUGUGUGUACUAUAUACUUCUUGAACUGGAAAUCACACAAUGCUCCUUAUUUGCCUUCAAUCACUAGCAGAUGCAGAACGGUCAGAUCAUUUCCCUUUAAAUUGACCUAAGGGAUUAAAGGAAUUGAAAGGAAUUUCCAGCUAACUAGUGCCUCUGCUUUCCCGGACUUUAAUUCUUGAGCCUUCAGGGUCAGAGUCUCUGGUAACUUAAUCUGUCUCUCCCUCCCCCUAAUUUGUUCACUUCCUUCCUUUUGUUUGCCUCCUGAGCAGUAACCAAGUACCCAGGCUCAACUCCUGCAUUUGCUGGCUUCCAAACUCUUAAACUAAACACUUGUGUAAAUCUGGCAGGAGGUGGGUGCUCUGUUGAGAGCAUAGGAAUCUGAAAUACUCCUUUGUGGCAGUUUUCAACCUUUAAUUCACAGGUAUCAAUUGCAACAAAGACAGAGUGUCAGGAACAAGAGCAGUUUUCUCAGUGUUUAGGAAAGCAGUCCUGAAGAAAAGAAGUCAAGAAGGGCUGGCUCACAGCAGAAGACGUAAAAUACAACAGGUAAGAUGUGACAGGACAACAAUCUGCUUCCAAUCAAAAGCAGUUAAUGGCAGUUCUGCAUCUUAUAUUGUUUUUUGUCUCAGAAACCUGUCAGGAGUCCUUUUAUGGAUUGUCUCAACUAUCAGGGAAAGCGGCUUACUUAGCAGGUGGCAGUUUAAAAAGUGGCUGAUACUUUCAAAACUACCUCUACAUCUUUUGUUCUCUGCCUGCUUCCAUGACUAUAUGUUUCUAGUUUUGACAUCUGCUCUUCAUCCAAUUACUCAUUUUGAUCAUAUACUUGUGGGACAUGAAAGGUGCUUUCUUUCAAAGAAAGCAUGUCAUUACUUUCUUUGAUGACUACUAUCGUCUCUGUAAAUCAGCUUCUAUUAAAAAAAUAACAUCAAAAUCAACAACCAAUCAGAAUGGUGGCCAAAAACUCUAGAAGCACUGUCUCAACCAUUUAUUUUUUGUUGAAUUUCAUAGCAUAAAGUGUAUGGAUUAUAAAAAUUAGGCAUUUAAAAAUCUCAAAAUUUAUCAUUAGCAUAUGAAAGUUAGAAAUUUUUACUUGAUUGAAAUAAAAUCUUCAAAAUAUGAACCA
This 1312-nucleotide long non-coding RNA is filed under the name Anas platyrhynchos platyrhynchos (common mallard). RNAcentral's name for it is "lncRNA (ENSAPLG00000027971.1)". The record is from RNAcentral. Lineage: Eukaryota; Metazoa; Chordata; Aves; Anseriformes; Anatidae.